UGUUGGGGAGGUAACGGCUCACCAAGGCGACGACGGUAGCCGGCCUGAGAGGGCGACCGGCCACACUGGGACUGAGACACGGCCCAGACUCCUACGGGAGGCAGCAGUGGGGAAUAUUGCACAAUGGGCGAAAGCCUGAUGCAGCGACGCCGCGUGAGGGAUGACGGCCUUCGGGUUGUAAACCUCUUUCAGCAGGGAAGAAGCGAAAGUGACGGUACCUGCAGAAGAAGCGCCGGCUAACUACGUGCCAGCAGCCGCGGUAAUACGUAGGGCGCAAGCGUUGUCCGGAAUUAUUGGGCGUAAAGAGCUCGUAGGCGGCUUGUCGCGUCGGUUGUGAAAGCCCGGGGCUUAACCCCGGGUCUGCAGUCGAUACGGGCAGGCUAGAGUUCGGUAGGGGAGAUCGGAAUUCCUGGUGUAGCGGUGAAAUGCGCAGAUAUCAGGAGGAACACCGGUGGCGAAGGCGGAUCUCUGGGCCGAUACUGACGCUGAGGAGCGAAAGCGUGGGGAGCGAACAGGAUUAGAUACCCUGGUAGUCCACGCCGUAAACGGUGGGCACUAGGUGUGGGCAACAUCCACGU
RNAcentral lists this ribosomal RNA (578 nucleotides) under Streptomyces fragilis. RNAcentral describes it as "bacterial SSU rRNA". It matches the Rfam family "Bacterial small subunit ribosomal RNA", at positions 247 to 837 of the family's 1533-position model. Lineage: Bacteria; Bacillati; Actinomycetota; Actinomycetes; Kitasatosporales; Streptomycetaceae. The record is from RNAcentral.